This 253-nucleotide ribosomal RNA is filed under the name uncultured bacterium. Its description in RNAcentral is "partial 16S ribosomal RNA". It matches the Rfam family "Bacterial small subunit ribosomal RNA", at positions 524 to 776 of the family's 1533-position model. The record is from RNAcentral.
UACGGGGGGUGCAAACGUUGCUCGGAAUUAUUGGGCGUAAAGCGCACGUAGGCGGUCUUGUAAGUCGGGUGUGAAAGCCCGGGGCUUAACCCCGGAAGUGCACUCGAAACUGCAAGGCUUGAGUACGGAAGAGGGUCUCGGAAUUCCCGGUGUAGAGGUGAAAUUCGUAGAUAUCGGGAGGAACACCCAGGGGGAAACCAGUCGACUGGGCAUCUACUGACGCUGAGGUGCGAGAGCGUGGGGAGCGAACCGG